CACCAAGCCGACAUUGAAAGAACAUCAAUUUCUAGUGUCCCCAAUUCCAUGUCCCCAGCAUGCACAGGGCUGCCCCACGUCUCAGCAGCCCCCUCCUGCUCGCCCCGCAAACCUGACUCAGCGGCAGCUGUGGCUUUUGUUCUCCACCGUGUUUGCAAUGACUGCAGGCCUCCUACCCCGAGUCAACGAUGGGCACGGCGUGACGCCCCCUUACAGCCCAGCAUGCGCUCACGUAGGAAAAGGAAUUCUAACAGGCUUGCUCGAGUCUCACGAGCCUUGCAGUUUGCACCAAGAAGUUGCGUGUGACAACACUUCCAUCUGGCAGACGGCCUCACUGGAAUGCACUUGGAAGUCUGGAGAACGGAGACAUCAACAGAAGCACAAUUAAUCAGCGCAAUUGUUUUCCCUGCUGUGAACAGGACAUUCCUCUGGAUUUUUGAGGGCAACGCACACGGNNNNNNNNNNNNNNNNNNNNNNNNNCGGCGGGCACGCGUGGACUGCUCUUACUGGUCUUCCCGCUCACUCUCUGUCUCAGGCCAGUGCAGCAAAGCCCUCAGCCCUCCUUGUGCCAGUGACGGUGAGAGUGCUGGGUCCCGUGAACAGCCUGAAGUUACCAGCUCUGACUGGAAGCUCUCUGGACUCUGGCUUUGGGAGCAGAGAUUUCUGUCUGUUCAGACCCAAGUUGACGUAGCAAACAUUGGGCCCCUGCUGCAUACAAGGUCUGGGCUACAAGGGAGUGAGUGAUGAAGGAGAUAUAGUCCCUGCUUCUAGAACCUGGACAACACCCUUCUGCUCCUAUCAUGGCUCAGGUGAGCUAAGGUUUCUCCUUAAAUUCUGCAAUCUUUCCUAGCCCUCCCAUGGCUCUUUAGGGUAAAAUCCGAGCUCCCAGCCAGCAUCCAAGGCCUGCCCCGCUGCCUAUUUGGGCCUCACCUCCCCCAAAUACUCUCGCUCAGAGAGCUACUCGCUCCCAAGUCUCCAGGCCUUUGCUCCCCUUGCUCCCCUUUCUGAAACACCAUUUCUUCUCUCCUUCCCCAGUAGGAUAUUAACUAACCUCUAGGGACUCAGUUCAGGCAUUGCCUCCUCUGGGAAGCCCACCCUGCUUUCUCAGUUUGGGGAGCCCCCAAACACCCGCCAUGGCAUACCUUGAAUCAUCAUAAGGUAAUGAGACAUUUGCCCCUCUCUCUCCUCCCAUCCUCAGCCCCUUGAGGCCACAGUGGAGCUUCUUUAUGUCUUUAUCCCCGAGACCAAGCUGGGCCUUGCUGAAAGCAGGUUUCCAGAGGGUAUUUCCAGGUAAGUGAGCCAAAGAGCUCAGGGUCAGCGACCUGCAGGUGAUCUGUGGAGGUGGUAGAAUAGAAGAGAGGUAUUUCGUCUGUUCUAGGGGGUCCAUAAAGUUGGAAAUACAUGUACCUCAGUGGUUAUGAUGUAAUGCUUUCAAAUGGAACGGCACUUCAGAUUCGGGUAUGUCAGCCAGCAAAGAGGGAGAAAACUCCCCAUUCAAAUGCUGCCCUCCGGGGCAGGUGCUGAGGUAAGAGGCCCAGCUCUGGGCUGUCUAGAGCCCUGGAGGGGUUUGUGGCCAGGGGGCAGCAAUGCGGGACUGUUUCAGGGGGAGGCAGCCUCCCUUGUAAGGGGCCCAAUUUUGGUUUGCCUCCCUCAUGUUGAGGACAGAAAGCCAAUGCAGGGAUCGGGGUCAGGGCAUUGCUCCUCCUGAAGGACCAGGUUGAGGGUCCCGACCUCAGAGAGGAAGACUAUAAGGGGCAGGGGGCAGCGCCUCUUGUCAGCUGUUCCUGAAAGGAGAACGGAGAGGUGGGGAGCAAAUGGGAAGCACGGCAAGGCUUAGGCUUGUGUGGGCUGUAGCUUCGUGGCUGCUCCAGAGCUCGGCCCCCAGUCCGGCCUGUGACCUGAGGGCCCCGGGGCCUACUUCCGGGGACACAGGCAGAGCUGAGCCAAUGGUUGGGAGACAGUGGUUCUUCCCUAGGUUCAACGGACUCAGGAGGGGGCUGGUGGCCAGGAGUGGCACACUCCGUGGACUGAGGGGCAGGUGGCUAAGUAAAAUAGAAGUUAAAUUUGAAUUUCAGAUAAAUGAAUAAUUUUUUUUUAGUUUAAGUAUGUCCCAAAUAUUGCAUGGAACGUCCUUAGACUAAAAAAGUAUUUGUUCAUUUGAAAUUCAAAUUUAGCUGCACGUCCUGUAUUUUUAUUUGCCAUAUAGGGCCAUUCUAUUUAGGGGUCAGCCUGAUCUGAGGGCCAGCAUGGCCCACAGACCCCAUAACAAUAAAACAUUUCGAAAACAAACA
Molecule: long non-coding RNA, 2291 nt
Filed under: Ursus maritimus (polar bear)
Lineage: Eukaryota; Metazoa; Chordata; Mammalia; Carnivora; Ursidae
Description: lncRNA (ENSUMAG00000023076.1)
Source: RNAcentral